Homo sapiens (human) is the source of this 1975-nucleotide long non-coding RNA. RefSeq lists it as uncharacterized. The transcript has 4 exons. Lineage: Eukaryota; Metazoa; Chordata; Mammalia; Primates; Hominidae. The record is from RefSeq and is a predicted model, not a curated record.
UCCACCUCCCAAAGUGCUGGGAUUACAGGUGUGAGCCACCAUGCCCGGCCUACAUCUUUUUUUAAAUAAGCUUAAUAACCCAUGAGAAAGGUGUUAGUUUAAAAAAAAAAAGAUAAAUAAAUCUCUUGUCAGUUUUUUUUUUCCCCAACCCCAUAAUCUUAUCCUUAAGGACCUGGAAGCCUUCUCUUUGAAAUGAAAUCAUCGAGGGAAAUAGCAUUCCUAUUUCCUAGUCCUAUGGAAGGGUAGGAACCUAACUUCAGCUGGCACCUGUUAAGUUACAAACCUACCAUAAAGACAUAAGAAAUUUAAUUUUCCUUUGGAUAAAGACAAUUAACAAACACAGGUGACUACUCCGAUUCGCAGGUGACAGGUGGUGCUGUGAAGUCAUCUUAUUUGAGGACUAGUUGUUUAUCUUGAAAACAUGUAUGACAUGGGUUGCAUCUGCCUGGUUAUAUAAAGGGCCAAUUCUCAAUAUCCUCAAGGAUUGGUUCCACAACUCUCCUCCUCCACCAAAACCCCAGGAUGCUCAAGUCCUUUAUAUAAAAUGAGUUGGGGCCUCGUUCUGUUGCCCAGGCUGGAGUGCAGUGGUGCAAUCAUAGCUCACUGCAGCCUUGACUUCCUAGGCUCAAGUGAUCCUCCCACCUUGGCUUCCGAAGUAGCUGGAACUACAGAUGCAGGGCAGUUUGGCCGAGAAUCAAGCCAGGAUUUGACAAGAAGGGAGUUGAAGGGUCAAUGAAAGGUACAGUAUGAUAUAAGGACACUACACAGGAAGGAAUGGAAAGCUGAGAAAUAGGAUGGACACAUUUGGGCAGAUGUGGUCAAGACCCAGACUCUCAAAUGCCCAAAUCCCCUUGAGCUUUUCUCAGAGUGGAGGCAACCUACCCUCAUAUCCACUCCCCAUUCCUGACCAGCCUUUCCCUGUGUAAAAGGCACUUAGUCGCUUCAUCUGGGGCAGUUGCCUUAUGAGCUGAUGCUAGUUCUUGUAAGGGACUGAUCCUACCCUGCCUCCUUGCCUCUGGAUCUUAACAGAAGUUAGUUAUUCCAGUGCAAACCAAAAAGUACUGAACGUGGCCCAGAAAGAGAUAGUUUCUUGCCAGUGUGUAUUGGCAAGAGUUAGGGAAUAUGGAAAUGGAUUGUUACGCCAAGGAAAACAAAUAUAAGGUUGGAUUGGGAUAAAUGUAUAAACAUGAGUGCAUGUGCUGGCAUGUCAGUCAUGUUUUCCAAAGAUAGUCACACAAUGUCUCUCAUCUUUUCUGCCAGUGGCCUUGACACUCCUUCCAUUGAGUGGUGGGGUCUAUGUCCCCUCCCCUUGAAUCCAAUAGAGUACAACCAAAGUAAUACCAUGUGAUAUCCCAGGUAAGGUCAUUAAGUUUCUACAGAAGAGACUUGAUAGCAAAGGAGAGCCUGCCAGGUCUAACUGCUCAUCCUGACCUCCCAGCUUCUUGCCUGGCCUUUAAAUAACCCUCCCUUAGGUGUCCUGGAAUGUCUCCUUGCUCUGAUUCCAGAGCAGUUAUUUUUUAUGUAUUCAUUCAACAAAUUUAGCGUCUGUAAUAUGCCCAGCAUAGGCCAUAAAUGAUGACACUGACAAGACCCCAAGUUGGAGAAACUAAAUGAGCCCUAACAACAAGUGCUGACCCGAGCCACAAUAGAGGCCUGUUGAAGGGAGAAAGAGGUAAUGAGGUGGGGUCAGGGAGGGCUUCUGGAGUAGGAGAUUCCUGAGCCAAGUCCUAAAGGAUGUGUAUGGGCUCACCAGGUGGAGAAGAUGGAACGGACAAGUCUGGUCGUGGAAAGAUGCCCUGGGCAGAGGGAACGGUGCGGAUAAAGGAAGGAGAGCAAGUGGAAGAUGGCAGCCAAUGGGAAUGAGCAAUGCAUGGGAAGGAACUGAGGGUGAGAUGAAAGGCAGCGCACCAGGCUGCAGAGAUCAGCCCUGGCGGUUACAUUUUUCAAUUAAUUCUCUUAUUUUUAUUAUAUAAAA